GCAAUUCAAAAACCAUAUUCUCAUCCCGGUCGACCUGGACCCUCGGAAAGGAAACUUUGCUGUUUGAAGAGAAUUGUGGAAAACGAACCCCGUUCGAAGGCUUCUGACAUUG
This is a long non-coding RNA of Octopus sinensis (East Asian common octopus), 112 nucleotides long. RefSeq lists it as uncharacterized. The transcript is spliced from 3 exons. The record is from RefSeq and is a predicted model, not a curated record. Lineage: Eukaryota; Metazoa; Mollusca; Cephalopoda; Octopoda; Octopodidae.